RNAcentral lists this ribosomal RNA (1125 nucleotides) under Escherichia coli. RNAcentral describes it as "bacterial SSU rRNA". It matches the Rfam family "Bacterial small subunit ribosomal RNA", at positions 56 to 1171 of the family's 1533-position model. Lineage: Bacteria; Pseudomonadati; Pseudomonadota; Gammaproteobacteria; Enterobacterales; Enterobacteriaceae. The record is from RNAcentral.
UGCAAGUCGAACGGUAACAGGAAGAAGCUUGCUUCUUUGCUGACGAGUGGCGGACGGGUGAGUAAUGUCUGGGAAACUGCCUGAUGGAGGGGGAUAACUACUGGAAACGGUAGCUAAUACCGCAUAACGUCGCAAGACCAAAGAGGGGGACCUUCGGGCCUCUUGCCAUCGGAUGUGCCCAGAUGGGAUUAGCUAGUAGGUGGGGUAACGGCUCACCUAGGCGACGAUCCCUAGCUGGUCUGAGAGGAUGACCAGCCACACUGGAACUGAGACACGGUCCAGACUCCUACGGGAGGCAGCAGUGGGGAAUAUUGCACAAUGGGCGCAAGCCUGAUGCAGCCAUGCCGCGUGUAUGAAGAAGGCCUUCGGGUUGUAAAGUACUUUCAGCGGGGAGGAAGGGAGUAAAGUUAAUACCUUUGCUCAUUGACGUUACCCGCAGAAGAAGCACCGGCUAACUCCGUGCCAGCAGCCGCGGUAAUACGGAGGGUGCAAGCGUUAAUCGGAAUUACUGGGCGUAAAGCGCACGCAGGCGGUUUGUUAAGUCAGAUGUGAAAUCCCCGGGCUCAACCUGGGAACUGCAUCUGAUACUGGCAAGCUUGAGUCUCGUAGAGGGGGGUAGAAUUCCAGGUGUAGCGGUGAAAUGCGUAGAGAUCUGGAGGAAUACCGGUGGCGAAGGCGGCCCCCUGGACGAAGACUGACGCUCAGGUGCGAAAGCGUGGGGAGCAAACAGGAUUAGAUACCCUGGUAGUCCACGCCGUAAACGAUGUCGACUUGGAGGUUGUGCCCUUGAGGCGUGGCUUCCGGAGCUAACGCGUUAAGUCGACCGCCUGGGGAGUACGGCCGCAAGGUUAAAACUCAAAUGAAUUGACGGGGGCCCGCACAAGCGGUGGAGCAUGUGGUUUAAUUCGAUGCAACGCGAAGAACCUUACCUGGUCUUGACAUCCACGGAAGUUUUCAGAGAUGAGAAUGUGCCUUCGGGAACCGUGAGACAGGUGCUGCAUGGCUGUCGUCAGCUCGUGUUGUGAAAUGUUGGGUUAAGUCCCGCAACGAGCGCAACCCUUAUCCUUUGUUGCCAGCGGUCCGGCCGGGAACUCAAAGGAGACUGCCAGUGAUAAACUGGAGGAA